GCCGGGGUGGUGAAAUUGGUAAACACAGGGGACUUAAAAUCCCCCGGGCUCACGCCCUUCUGGGUUCAAGUCCCAGCCUCGGCAC
RNAcentral lists this transfer RNA (85 nucleotides) under Gammaproteobacteria bacterium. RNAcentral describes it as "tRNA-Leu". It matches the Rfam family "tRNA". From Rfam's summary of the family: Transfer RNA (tRNA) molecules are approximately 80 nucleotides in length. Their secondary structure includes four short double-helical elements and three loops (D, anti-codon, and T loops). Lineage: Bacteria; Pseudomonadati; Pseudomonadota; Gammaproteobacteria. RNAcentral also lists the same sequence under 1 other name. The record is from RNAcentral.